Molecule: ribosomal RNA, 445 nt
Filed under: uncultured bacterium
Lineage: Bacteria
Description: partial 16S ribosomal RNA
Rfam family: Bacterial small subunit ribosomal RNA
Source: RNAcentral
GUGAGGAAUAUUGGUCAAUGGACGAGAGUCUGAACCAGCCAAGUCGCGUGAAGGAAGACGGUUCUAUGAAUUGUAAACUUCUUUUGUGCAGGAAUAAAGUGGGUUACGUGUAACCUUUUGUAUGUACUGUACGAAUAAGGAUCGGCUAACUCCGUGCCAGCAGCCGCGGUAAUACGGAGGAUCCGAGCGUUAUCCGGAUUUAUUGGGUUUAAAGGGUGCGUAGGUGGAUUGAUAAGUCAGCGGUGAAUGUUUGCAGCUUAACUGUAAAAUUGCCGUUGAAACUGUCGGUCUUGAGUGCAAAUGAGGUAGGCGGAAUGUGUUGUGUAGCGGUGAAAUGCUUAGAUAUAACACAGAACUCCGAUUGCGAAGGCAGCUUACUGGGAUGCAACUGACACUGAUGCACGAAAGCGUGGGUAUCAAACAGGAUUAGAAACCCUUGUAGUCC